Frieseomelitta varia is the source of this 366-nucleotide long non-coding RNA. RefSeq lists it as uncharacterized. Lineage: Eukaryota; Metazoa; Arthropoda; Insecta; Hymenoptera; Apidae. The transcript is spliced from 2 exons. The record is from RefSeq and is a predicted model, not a curated record.
GUGGUGUUAAGACGUAUCUGCUUGACGUUCAUUAACCGCGCAAUAUGUAUAUAGUUUCAUCACCAGCUUUUGACUUCGUUUAAUCAACAUCACUGACAGAUUGCAAAGAAAAUUUCGUGGUUAGGAGGACAUUAUGCAAUUCAAAGGGAUGUUGUGGAGAUUCAUGAAAAAUUCAAGAAAUCCAAUAUCUCUCUUUAUGAAAGUAAUAAUUCAUUUAUUCUAACAGAGAUGGACCUUUUCGGGAAGAAACGCUAAUACAGACAGGUUUGAAUACGUUUUGCGCAUCGUGUUGUUUGUGUACUGCGCAGUUUUGUACUUAAUAAAGAAGCGCGCUAUAUUUGAUUAGUAAGAAGUAUAUUUAAAGCA